Molecule: ribosomal RNA, 594 nt
Filed under: uncultured Bacteroidota bacterium
Lineage: Bacteria; Pseudomonadati; Bacteroidota
Description: bacterial SSU rRNA
Rfam family: Bacterial small subunit ribosomal RNA
Source: RNAcentral
CAACCUGCCGAUAACUCCGGGAUAGCCUUUCGAAAGAAAGAUUAAUACCGGAUAGUAUACGAAUAUCGCAUGAUAUUUUUAUUAAAGAAUUUCGGUUAUCGAUGGGGAUGCGUUCCAUUAGUUUGUUGGCGGGGUAACGGCCCACCAAGACUACGAUGGAUAGGGGUUCUGAGAGGAAGGUCCCCCACAUUGGAACUGAGACACGGUCCAAACUCCUACGGGAGGCAGCAGUGAGGAAUAUUGGUCAAUGGGCGAGAGCCUGAACCAGCCAAGUAGCGUGAAGGAUGAAGGCUCUAUGGGUCGUAAACUUCUUUUAUAUGGGAAUAAAGUUUUCCACGUGUGGAAUUUUGUAUGUACCAUAUGAAUAAGGAUCGGCUAACUCCGUGCCAGCAGCCGCGGUAAUACGGAGGAUCCGAGCGUUAUCCGGAUUUAUUGGGUUUAAAGGGAGCGUAGGUGGAUUGUUAAGUCAGUUGUGAAAGUUUGCGGCUCAACCGUAAAAUUGCAGUUGAAACUGGCAGUCUUGAGUACAGUAGAGGUGGGCGGAAUUCGUGGUGUAGCGGUGAAAUGCUUAGAUAUCACGAAGAACUCCGAUUG